RNAcentral lists this non-coding RNA (24 nucleotides) under Rattus norvegicus (Norway rat). Lineage: Eukaryota; Metazoa; Chordata; Mammalia; Rodentia; Muridae. The record is from RNAcentral.
CCUUGUCAGGAAUGGGGUGCUUGA